RNAcentral lists this unclassified non-coding RNA (307 nucleotides) under Hevea brasiliensis (rubber tree). Lineage: Eukaryota; Viridiplantae; Streptophyta; Magnoliopsida; Malpighiales; Euphorbiaceae. The record is from RNAcentral.
GCGCCGACUCAAACGCCCUCCUGGCAACCUCCGCAGCCCCCUUCUGCUCGUAACACUCGCCGAGCAAACAGAAAGCCUUUCCGUUCCCCGGACUAAGCUGCACGGACUCGUUAAGAUCGGCGAGAGCUUGAUCAGAGCGGCGGCGGCGGUUAAUAGCGAGAUGAAUCUCCGCCCGCUUGAGCAGCGCAUCCCCGCGCUCGCUGGGGGAUAGGGAUUUGACUGCGGGUGCGGAGAGGGCGGCGUCGAGGGCCCGGAGGGCGGGCUGGCGGAGGCCCUGGAGGUCGAGGGCGAGGGCGCGGAGGAUGAG